Molecule: ribosomal RNA, 447 nt
Filed under: uncultured bacterium
Lineage: Bacteria
Description: bacterial SSU rRNA
Rfam family: Bacterial small subunit ribosomal RNA
Source: RNAcentral
UCGGGAAUUUUGGGCAAUGGGCGAAAGCCUGACCCAGCAACGCCGCGUGAAGGAUGAAGUAUUCCGGUAUGUAAACUUCGUAAGAAUAGGAAGAAUAAAUGACGGUACUAUUUAUAAGGUCCGGCUAACUACGUGCCAGCAGCCGCGGUAAUACGUAGGGACCAAGCGUUGUUCGGAUUUACUGGGCGUAAAGGGCGCGUAGGCGGCAAUUCAAGUCAUCUGUGAAAUCUCCGGGCUUAACUCGGAACGGUCAGAUGAUACUGCUUUGCUAGAGUGCAGAAGGGGCAAUCGGAAUUCUUGGUGUAGCGGUGAAAUGCGUAGAUAUCAAGAGGAACACCUGAGGUGAAGACGGGUUGCUGGGCUGACACUGACGCUGAGGCGCGAAAGCCAGGGGAGCAAACGGGAUUAGAUACCCACGUAGUCCCUGAGCGGGCUGGCAAGGCGCAU